Molecule: non-coding RNA, 754 nt
Filed under: Astenus lyonessius
Lineage: Eukaryota; Metazoa; Arthropoda; Insecta; Coleoptera; Staphylinidae
Source: RNAcentral
UGAAAAUUUUAAUUUAGUUGAGAAAAUUAGUAGUUAAAUUUUUUAUAUGUAAAUUUUAGUGUUUUUUUAAAUAAGAAUUUUAGCAGUAAAUAAAUUUAAAAAUGUAAGAAAUUAUGAUUUAGAAAUUUAUAUUAGUAUUAACAUAAUUUGUGCCAGCAGUUGCGGUUAUACGAAUAAUGCAAUUAAUUUUUAUUAGUAAAUAAUAAAUUGUUAUUUAAUAAUUAAUCAAUAAUUUUUUUAGGUGAAAUUUUAAAAUUAUAGUUAAUUAAAUUUAUUUAUGUGAUUUAUUAAAUUUAAAAUUAAACUAGGAUUAGAUACCCUAUUAUUUUAAUUGUAAAUUUAUUACUUAAUUAGUAUUAGUUAUAACCUUUAAAGUUAAAAAUUUUGGCGGUAUUUUAGUCUUUUUAGAGGAACCUGUUCAGUAAUUGAUAAUCCACGAUUUAUUAAACUUAUUUUUUUUUAGUUUGUAUAUCAUCGUUAUUAAGUAUUUUAUAAGAAUAAAAAUAUUUAAAUAAUAUAAUUUUAUGAUAAAUCAGAUCAAGGCGCAGCUUAUAAAUAAGAUGAAAUGGGUUACAAUAAAUUUAUUUAUGGAUAAUUAGUUGAAAAUUAAUUUGAAAUUGGAUUUAAAAGUAAUAUAAUUUAAAUUAAUUAUAUGAUUAAAGCUCUAAAAUAUGUACAUAUUGCCCGUCACUUUCAUUUAAAAUGAAAUAAGUCGUAACAAAGUAGAUGUACUGGAAAGUGUAUCUAGUAAGAC